GACGAACGCUGGCGGCGUGCCUAAUACAUGCAAGUCGAACGAUCAGACUCGAGCCUGGCGCCGCUGACGAUUGGGGAGCGGGGGUGAGUAACGCGUGGAAACCCUACCUAAAACUCUACUAUAAGUUGGGAAAACCGUAUCUAACAGGGGAUAAUAUGUGGAACCACAUGCUUCAACAGUGAAAGACGGUGUUGGGGGCUCUUAUAGAUGGAUCCGCGCCGGAUUAGCUAGUUGUUAAGGUAACGGCUUACCAAGGGGACCAUGCGUAGCCGACCUAAGAGGGUGAUCGGCCACACGGGAACUGAGACACGGACCAGACUCCUACGGGAGGCAGCAGUAGGGAAUCUUCGGCAAUGGGCGAAAGUCUGACGGAGCAACGCCGCGUGAGUGACGAAGGUCUUCGGAUCGUAAAACUCUGUUAUUAGGGAAGAACAAAUGUGUGAGUAACUGAACCCGUAUUGACGGUACCUAAUCAGAAAGCCACGGCUAACUACGUG
This 497-nucleotide ribosomal RNA is filed under the name uncultured bacterium. Its description in RNAcentral is "partial 16S ribosomal RNA". It matches the Rfam family "Bacterial small subunit ribosomal RNA", at positions 28 to 507 of the family's 1533-position model. The record is from RNAcentral.